Molecule: ribosomal RNA, 471 nt
Filed under: uncultured bacterium
Lineage: Bacteria
Description: bacterial SSU rRNA
Rfam family: Bacterial small subunit ribosomal RNA
Source: RNAcentral
AUCCAGACUCCUACGGGAGGCAGCAGUAGGGAAUUUUCGUCAAUGGAGGGAACUCUGAACGAGCAAUGCCGCGUGAGUGAAGAAGGUCUUCGGAUCGUAAAGCUCUGUUGCAAGAGAAAAACGACAAGCACAGGGGAUGGUGAUUGAGUGAUGGUAUCUUGCGAGGAAGCCACGGCUAACUACGUGCCAGCAGCCGCGGUAAUACGGAGGAUGCGAGCGUUAUCCGGAUUUAUUGGGUUUAAAGGGUGCGCAGGCGGAAGAUCAAGUCAGCGGUAAAAUUGAGAGGCUCAACCUCUUCGAGCCGUUGAAACUGGUUUUCUUGAGUGAGCGAGAAGUAUGCGGAAUGCGUGGUGUAGCGGUGAAAUGCAUAGAUAUCACGCAGAACUCCGAUUGCGAAGGCAGCAUACCGGCGCUCAACUGACGCUCAGGCACGAAAGUGUGGGUAUCGAACAGGAUUAGAUACCCUCGUAC